RNAcentral lists this ribosomal RNA (250 nucleotides) under uncultured bacterium. Its description in RNAcentral is "partial 16S ribosomal RNA". It matches the Rfam family "Bacterial small subunit ribosomal RNA", at positions 524 to 772 of the family's 1533-position model. The record is from RNAcentral.
UACGGAGGAUCCAAGCGUUAUUCGGAGUGACUGGGCGUAAAGAGUUGCGUAGGGGGUUUGUUAAGCGAAUAGUGAAAUCUUGUGGCUCAACCAUAAGGCUAUUAUUCGAACUGGCAGACUUGAGAAUAUGAGAGGUAGAUGGAAUUUCUAGUGUAGGAGUGAAAUCCGUAGAUAUUAGAAGGAACACCAAUGGCGUAGGCAGUCUACUGGCAUAUUUCUGACCCUGAGGCACGAAAGCGUGGGGAGCGAA